GGACGAACGCUGGCGGCGUGCCUAAUACAUGCAAGUAGAACGCUGAAGAGAGGAGCUUACUCUUCUUGGAUGAGUUGCGAACGGGUGAGUAACGCGUAGGUAACCUGCCUUGUAGCGGGGGAUAACUAUUGGAAACGAUAGCUAAUACCGCAUAACAAUGGAUGACACAUGUCAUUUAUUUGAAAGGGGCAAUUGCUCCACUACAAGAUGGACCUGCGUUGUAUUAGCUAGUAGGUGAGGUAAUGGCUCACCUAGGCGACGAUACAUAGCCGACCUGAGAGGGUGAUCGGCCACACUGGGACUGAGACACGGCCCAGACUCCUACGGGAGGCAGCAGUAGGGAAUCUUCGGCAAUGGGGGCAACCCUGACCGAGCAACGCCGCGGGAGUGAAGAAGGUUUUCGGAUCGUAAAGCUCUGUUGUAAGUCAAGAACGGGUGUGAGAGUGGAAAGUUCACACUGUGACGGUAGCUUACCAGAAAGGGACGGCUAACUACGUG
Molecule: ribosomal RNA, 498 nt
Filed under: uncultured bacterium
Lineage: Bacteria
Description: partial 16S ribosomal RNA
Rfam family: Bacterial small subunit ribosomal RNA
Source: RNAcentral